Non-coding RNA from Lactuca sativa (garden lettuce), 1005 nucleotides. The record is from RefSeq and is a predicted model, not a curated record. Lineage: Eukaryota; Viridiplantae; Streptophyta; Magnoliopsida; Asterales; Asteraceae.
UUUAUGUUUAUACUUUAAUAUUUAAUCUUUUUUUUAAAUCAACAUGUGUAAUACACGGGUCUCACACCUAACAAAGACCUAGUAAAUAUUAAUAAAUGGUAAUAUAGUCAUUUAAGUAGGAACGAAUGGACAAUUAGAUAAAGGCCAACUUGGUCAUUUUUGUUUGAACAAUGAUCAAAAUAGUCACACUAAUUUGAAAUAUAACAAACAAAAACUUCCAAAAAUUGCAAAAACCACUUAAACACACAUAUACCUAUAUAACAAUCGUUGUAAUCUUUUUUGCAUCUACUUAAAAGAAAGUCUCAUGAUUUGUAUUUCCCAUAAAUCUUGUUUUUUUCACAAGAUGUCAUUCCGAUAUAAGUGCCGCCAAACGUUUGACUUUUGAAUAUACCAAAUCGACAUUACUAAAAGCUUCAUUUUGCUAGAUAGGUAAUACGUUUUAUAUAUUUUUCAUUUUUUUUUUUUUGUGCAUUUUAGGUUCAACUGUUUGUUAAAGGAAAAACAAGUACAUGUUAUUUUCCAUGAGAAUUUAAAGAUAGAAGGAUGUUGAAAAACCACUUACAAAAAAAAAAAAAAAAAAAAAAAACUAAACCAAACUACUCAUCAAAUUAUUUGAGAUUUUUGAUUUUUGCGCAACUGGAUUGCUUAAUCGGGUAACUUCUAUUCAACUUCUGAGUUUACAGCAUCGAAUAAGCUAUUUUCUGUCUUUCACAGCCAGAAGGUCAAACUGUCGGCUAUUAUGUGAUACAUACUGUUGUUUGGUUGAAGCUUUAGGCUCUUCACUUACGGAAUAUUUACUUUGACGAUACCACAUGAUAAAAGAAGAAUCGGUUACAAGACCUUUUGAUUUGGUUGCAAUAAGGUAUUAGGGAAUAACUUUCGUAAAUUUCCAGGUAGUAAAUAUUGUUGUAUAUUGAGUUUAUUUGUUAUAUUUUUUUUCACAAACAAAAUUUGAUAUAUAUUAUAAUGUUAAAAAGUCAAACAUUUGCUUAAACCUUUUUUCCU